Molecule: non-coding RNA, 95 nt
Organism: Mycena galericulata
Lineage: Eukaryota; Fungi; Basidiomycota; Agaricomycetes; Agaricales; Mycenaceae
Source: the annotation of a GenBank genome assembly
GACCUUGUAGCAUAAUGAUAGUGCGUCACUUCUGAAUGAGUAAACCAUCGAGCUCUGCUCUUGUGACGAUCUCAGUUCAAUUCUGGGCAAGGUCA